MicroRNA precursor from Vicugna pacos (alpaca), 70 nucleotides. Ensembl annotates it as microRNA 1251. The record is from Ensembl. NCBI's taxonomy places the organism in Eukaryota, Metazoa, Chordata, Mammalia, Artiodactyla, Camelidae.
GUGGACUCUAGCUGCCAAAGGCGCUUAUCCUUCUGAACAGAGCGCUUUGCUCAGCCAGUGUAGACAUGGC